CCUUUCAUUUUGGAGAGGUAAUGGCUCACCAAGGCUACGAUGGGUAGGGGUUCUUAGUGGAAGGUCCCCCACACUGGCACUGAGAUACGGGCCAGACUCCUACGGGAGGCAGCAGUAGGGAAUAUUGGUCAAUGGGCGCAAGCCUGAACCAGCCAUGCCGCGUGCAGGAUGAAAACUCUCUGAGUUGUAAACUGCUUUUGUACAGGAGCAAAAAAGUCCCUGCGGGGAUUCUUGAGAGUACUGUAAGAAUAAGCACCGGCUAAUUCCGUGCCAGCAGCCGCGGUAAUACGGAAGGUGCAAGCGUUAUCCGGUUUUAUUGGGUUUAAAGGGUGCGUAGGCGGCUUAUUAAGUCAGUAGUGAAAUCCUAGUGCUUAACGCUAGAACUGCAAUUGAUACUAUUAGGCUUGAGUUAAGAAGAGGUU
This 422-nucleotide ribosomal RNA is filed under the name uncultured Candidatus Cardinium sp. Its description in RNAcentral is "bacterial SSU rRNA". It matches the Rfam family "Bacterial small subunit ribosomal RNA", at positions 238 to 659 of the family's 1533-position model. The record is from RNAcentral. Lineage: Bacteria; Pseudomonadati; Bacteroidota; Cytophagia; Cytophagales; Amoebophilaceae.